RNAcentral lists this ribosomal RNA (456 nucleotides) under uncultured bacterium. Its description in RNAcentral is "bacterial SSU rRNA". It matches the Rfam family "Bacterial small subunit ribosomal RNA", at positions 140 to 594 of the family's 1533-position model. The record is from RNAcentral.
GGGAUAACCCGUUGAAAGACGGACUAAUACCGUAUGACGUCGUUUGCUGACAUCAAAUAACGAUUAAAGGUUUAGCGGUGAUGGAUGGGGAUGCGUCUGAUUAGCUUGUUGGCGGGGUAACGGCCCACCAAGGCGACGAUCAGUAGGGGUUCUGAGAGGAAGGUCCCCCACAUUGGAACUGAGACACGGUCCAAACUCCUACGGGAGGCAGCAGUGAGGAAUAUUGGUCAAUGGGCGAGAGCCUGAACCAGCCAAGUAGCGUGCAGGAUGACGGCCCUAUGGGUUGUAAACUGCUUUUAUGCGGGGAUAAAGUGCGCGACGUGUCGUGCAUUGCAGGUACCGCAUGAAUAAGGACCGGCUAAUUCCGUGCCAGCAGCCGCGGUAAUACGGAAGGUCCGGGCGUUAUCCGGAUUUAUUGGGUUUAAAGGGAGCGUAGGCCGCCAGGUAAGCGUGUUG